Molecule: long non-coding RNA, 1564 nt
Organism: Vulpes vulpes (red fox)
Lineage: Eukaryota; Metazoa; Chordata; Mammalia; Carnivora; Canidae
Source: Ensembl
AAACAAGUCUGCUUGAGACCAAAAUCCUUGUUGUUCCAACACACUAAUUCUUGUUACCAUCUUCCAGAAGAAAAGAUGGAUUGUUCAUUCUUUGGCAAUAAGGGCUCUGGUAAGAAGGAUUAUGUUUUUCCAUUUUAUAUUCCCCAAGCACAGUGCCUGACUCCAAGCCCAAUGUGUGCUGUGAUGAAUGCAAGCUGAUCUAAAUGGAGCUGGUCCCGUGUUGGCAUCCCCUCCCCUUCUAGCUAGGGCAUUGUGAAAAUAGAAACCCAAAAUAUUGUGCAAUGAGAAAAUACAAGCAUGAAGCUGAAGCAGGAAGUUAAAGACAAUGAAAAUACCAGCUCUAGCCCCAUCCCUGGGAAAACAAGCAACAAGCAUAUCAACCACCACUGAAAAGCUUUAGAGUAUACCCAAGAGAAAUGUUUGCUUAUGGGCAAAGCCCAGACUCAUCAGAACCAUACAUCAGGCCUUUUGUGAUUUGGCCCCACCUGCUCAUUUCUCAUGAUUAAGCCCUCCCUCCUCACUCCUUCCUUCCCAAGUAUCUGGUGCAACAACCAAACCAAACCAUUAUCCUAAAAACCCGAUGUGUGCUUUCAAGCUUCCAUGAAGUUGUGACUUCUCUUCCAAAGGCUCCUUCUCCCUAUUUCUAUCUGGUGAACACCUCUCACUCUUCAAAUGACAUCUUCACCCUGCAUCUUUUCAUAAACACCAUCGCCUUGACCCUCAAAUAUUUCAAUGAAAAGACUUCCAAGGCAACAAGGAAUGUGAUUCAGUGUCCUAAGGAGUUGGAUGUCCUGGCUGGAGGGACAUUAGACAUCUCAUGGUUGAAUUUUCCUAUUGUUCAGAAAUCCUGUCAAUAAAGACCCUUGGCACUAAACAGAAGGUGGAAAAUUAAAGAAGCGCUGUAUUUUCACAACACCUGGCCUAGAUUUAUGGCACUGAGCAUGCCCCCUCCCUUCCUGGAUCUUCGUGUCCUGUUCUGCAAGAUGGCAGCCUGGGACUCCCUGAAGUCUCCUUUGAGACCCCUCACCUCUGGCAUCUUGGGAAUCAAACAUUUUACACCAAGAAUUUAGCACCCUUUACUUUCUCCCCGAUUUCCUUUCCUCCCCAUACAUGGGCUUUAGUAAUAGAAUCAUAGGUUUGGUUACCAGGUUAGAAGUAUGAUUAGUUUUUGCCUUAUAUGUGUUAUUUUUAGAUAACUUUUUCCUUUUACAGUUGCUUUGUCUUAUAGCCAUAUUUAUAACCUUUCAACUGAGCUCUAUGUUUGCUACAUUUCAGUGGUUCGCACUGGUCCUUUUAUAGACCUCGAUGUCUUCAUUCUUGGGUUCUUAUUUUUCUGUUGGUCUGUCUGUAUCUUCAAAAAAUAUUUUGAAAAGUACAUAUUGGGAUGCCUGGGUGGCUCAGGGGUUGAGCGUCUGCCUUUUGCUCAGGGCGUGAUCCCGGGGUCCUGGGGUUGAGUCCCACAUCGGGCUCCCUGCAUGGAGCCUGCUUCUCCCUCUGCAUAUGUCUCUGCCUCUCUCUGUGUGUGUCUCUUAUGAAUAAAUAAAUAAAAUCUUUUUAAAAAGUA